GCGGUGCGCCUUAUGCAUGCAAGUCGAGCGAAGCUUUUCAGUAGUUUACUACAGAAAAUGACUGAGCGGCGAACGGGUGAGUAACGCGUGAGCAAUCUACCUUAGUUACAGGGAUAGCCCGAGGAAACUCGGAUUAAUACCUGAUAUUCUUUAUAUUUCGCAUGAAAUUAAAAGGAAAGGUCAGCCGAACUAAGAUGAGCUCGCGUUCUAUCAGCUAGUUGGUGAGGUAAAAGCUCACCAAGGCUACGACGGAUAGCUGGUCUGAGAGGACGAUCAGCCACACUGGGACUGAGACACGGCCCAGACUCCUACGGGAGGCUGCAGCAGGGAAUAUUGCGCAAUGAGCGAAAGCUUGACGCAGCGACACCGCGUGUGGGAUGACGGAUCUAGGUUUGUAAACCACUUUCAGGAGGGAAGAAAAUGACGGUACCUCCACAAGAAGCCCCGGCCAACUACGUGCCAGCAGCCGCGGUAAUACGUANGGGGCGAGCGUUGUCCGGAUUUAUUGGGCGUA
Molecule: ribosomal RNA, 514 nt
Filed under: uncultured bacterium
Lineage: Bacteria
Description: bacterial SSU rRNA
Rfam family: Bacterial small subunit ribosomal RNA
Source: RNAcentral